RNAcentral lists this unclassified non-coding RNA (326 nucleotides) under uncultured fungus. Its description in RNAcentral is "partial contains 5.8S rRNA and ITS2". Lineage: Eukaryota; Fungi. The record is from RNAcentral.
AACGCAAGUUGCGCCCGAGGCCUUUUUGGCCUAGGGCACGCCUGCCUGGGCGUCAGUUGCCCCUCGGCGCUCCAUGCCAUGUGCGAUCUCUCACGGCUGGAUGCGGGCCUGGCCCUUCGAGUCCCUGAGCUCGGCGGGCCAAAGCGUUUGGCUUGCCCAUUGGGGCUGGCUGUGGCGAGUGGUGGAUCGAUCGCUCAGACGAGCCGUACGUCGCCCAGCUAGACCCCUCGGGUAUAUGGCCUUGUUGAACCCCCAGAAUAGCAGAUGCCGAAUGGCAUGGGCAAAACCAAGACCCCAGGUCAGGCGGGACCACCCGCCGAGUUUAA